RNAcentral lists this ribosomal RNA (497 nucleotides) under uncultured bacterium. RNAcentral's name for it is "partial 16S ribosomal RNA". It matches the Rfam family "Bacterial small subunit ribosomal RNA", at positions 28 to 507 of the family's 1533-position model. The record is from RNAcentral.
GAUGAACGCUGGCGGCGUGCCUAAUACAUGCAAGUCGAGCGAACAGAUGAGGAGCUUGCUCCUCUGACGUUAGCGGCGGACGGGUGAGUAACACGUGGAUAACCUACCUAUAAGACUGGGAUAACUUCGGGAAACCGGAGCUAAUACCGGAUAAUAUUUUGAACCGCAUGGUUCAAUAGUGAAAGACGGUUUUGCUGUCACUUAUAGAUGGAUCCGCGCUGCAUUAGCUAGUUGGUAAGGUAACGGCUUACCAAGGCUACGAUGCAUAGCCGACCUGAGAGGGUGAUCGGCCACACUGGAACUGAGACACGGUCCAGACUCCUACGGGAGGCAGCAGUAGGGAAUCUUCCGCAAUGGGCGAAAGCCUGACGGAGCAACGCCGCGUGAGUGAUGAAGGUCUUCGGAUCGUAAAACUCUGUUAUUAGGGAAGAACAAAUGUGUAAGUAACUAUGCACGUCUUGACGGUACCUAAUCAGAUAGCCACGGCUAACUACGUG